Molecule: ribosomal RNA, 468 nt
Filed under: uncultured bacterium
Lineage: Bacteria
Description: partial 16S ribosomal RNA
Rfam family: Bacterial small subunit ribosomal RNA
Source: RNAcentral
GACGAACGCUGGCGGCGUGCUUAACACAUGCAAGUCGAACGGAAAGGCCCUGCUUUUGUGGGGUGCUCGAGUGGCGAACGGGUGAGUAACACGUGAGUAACCUGCCCUUGACUUUGGGAUAACUUCAGGAAACUGGUGCUAAUACCGGAUAGGAGCUCCUGCUUCAUGGUGGGGGUUGGAAAGUUUCGGCGGUUGGGGAUGGACUCGCGGCUUAUCAGCUUGUUGGUGGGGUAGUGGCUUACCAAGGCUUUGACGGGAAGCCGGCCUGAGAGGGUGACCGGCCACAUUGGGACUGAGAUACGGCCCAGACUCCUACGGGAGGCAGCAGUGGGGAAUAUUGCACAAUGGGCGGAAGCCUGAUGCAGCAACGCCGCGUGCGGGAUGACGGCCUUCGGGUUGUAAACCGCUUUCGCCUGUGACGAAGCGUGAGUGACGGUAAUGGGUAAAGAAGCACCGGCUAACUACGUG